Molecule: long non-coding RNA, 432 nt
Filed under: Equus caballus (horse)
Lineage: Eukaryota; Metazoa; Chordata; Mammalia; Perissodactyla; Equidae
Description: lncRNA (ENSECAG00000033585.3)
Source: RNAcentral
GCUAAUAGAUGACCCUCUUCCUCUCUCACCUAGCCCCUCGUCUCCUGUAUCUCCCAGCACCCCAACCUCCACUGACUCAGCCUAACACACCAUCAUCCCCACCACCACUUCUCAGCCUUCCAGUGUGCUUGCUGUCUUCCCACUUCUGCUAGAAGAGGAGUCCUUGCAGGAGAGGAUCUGCCUGUGUUGGAGAAAUUCUUUGGUGUGUCUUUGGGAGCAGAUCGGCUAGAAGCACAGAAAUAACGUCACCACGAGCAGACCUCAACCAAAGACUGAUGGUUGAUGGUAUAUAAAUACUCCAACCCUCGCUCCCUUGGGUGAGAUAAAUCUGAGACGUGUUCUACACCAUUGCCCAGAUCCCCCCAGUUGGAUUAACCUUUAGUUACCCACGUGGGAACUUGCUUAAUAAUAAACAUUUAGUUGAAUCUCUCC